GUCCAGACUCCUACGGGAGGCAGCAGUGGGGAAUAUUGCACAAUGGGGGAAACCCUGAUGCAGCGACGCCGCGUGAGCGAUGAAGUAUUUCGGUAUGUAAAGCUCUAUCAGCAGGGAAGAAGAUGACGGUACCUGACUAAGAAGCCCCGGCUAACUACGUGCCAGCAGCCGCGGUAAUACGUAGGGGGCAAGCGUUAUCCGGAUUUACUGGGUGUAAAGGGAGCGUAGACGGCGAUGCAAGCCAGAUGUGAAAGCCCGGGGCUCAACCCCGGGACUGCAUUUGGAACUGUGUGGCUGGAGUGUCGGAGAGGCAGGCGGAAUUCCUAGUGUAGCGGUGAAAUGCGUAGAUAUUAGGAGGAACACCAGUGGCGAAGGCGGCCUGCUGGACGAUGACUGACGUUGAGGCUCGAAAGCGUGGGGAGCAAACAGGAUUAGAUACCCCAGUAAG
Molecule: ribosomal RNA, 448 nt
Filed under: uncultured bacterium
Lineage: Bacteria
Description: bacterial SSU rRNA
Rfam family: Bacterial small subunit ribosomal RNA
Source: RNAcentral